RNAcentral lists this long non-coding RNA (1998 nucleotides) under Rattus norvegicus (Norway rat). RNAcentral's name for it is "long non-coding RNA NONRATT019629". Lineage: Eukaryota; Metazoa; Chordata; Mammalia; Rodentia; Muridae. The record is from RNAcentral.
UAGGAAUGCACGCACGCACAUGCACACACACACGCACACACACACACACACACAGACAAGGACACGCGCACAUACACACGCACACACUAAGAUGAGCAGCAGUCCCCAGGCCUCUACACCUCUUACCACCGAUAACACAAGAGCUUGUUUUCAUCUCAGGGAGACUGCUAAUCAUCUGAGGCCCGAGGACUCACUCAUAUAAAGGACAGUCAAGGGGUAUCUCCAGGGACCAGAGAACAGUGGAGCAGAACAGCCUCAGAUGCAGGACAGACUGGGCUGUAGAGUAUCUGAGCUCUUCUUAUUUUGUUGCCUGGGGUAGAACCAUGUCCACUUUAUUAAUAUGACAGCCAUUAAGAACAACAGUAACCAAAAACCCCAACAAAGCAACCACAAAAACACCAACCACAGGGUUCUGAAGAUGCUGGGAGGGCGUUUACAUAAUUUCAAGGUGGAUGACAUCCUUAUCUAGACCAGAGGUCAACAAACUUCUUUUAAUAAAAUUUUGACUUUGUGGACCAUGCCCUGCCACCCUAGCUCGCUCCUGAAAAUGCACGCAUCAUUCCGAGAACACGGCUUGUUCCACGAACAUGUGAGAAAAGCCUCAGGCUGAGGAUAGCUCAGAGGGAAAGUACUUUUAGCAUGUCUAAGGCCCUGGAUCUGACUGCUAACAAUACACAAAGCCAGGUGUGGUAGCGUAGACCCGUGGUCCCAGAAUUCAGCAGAGAGGCGGCAGGAGGAUUAGAAGUUCAAAGUCAUCCUCAGUCACAUAAUAAGUUAAGGCCACCCUGAGAUACACGAGAGGUUGUCUCAGAUCACCAGCCUCCCACUUCCCAAAAAUACACCUAAAACUGCAGUAUGCGGAGAGACCGGUGCCCACCUGUCCACAAACCGUAACCCACACAGGGCCAGCUUCGAUCGUUGUUUUGUGUAAGAUACCCAGAAGUGUUUCCUAAUGGGGGCUUUGCAGGGUGCUCCAAGAGCCAGCCAGCAGUGAUGUCAUCCAAUACCAAGAUCAAGUACUGCCACUGUGAACAGCAGUGUUGCUAAGGAUGGAUCCAGGCCUAUCGAUCAUUUCCGAUCGUUUCUGUACCAGCAACAAUUUGUAUGAGGUCUAAAACAUUUACCACAUAACAAGACAAACGGAGGGGAAUCCUAGUAAAGACCAGGGAUCACUUAAAGCAAUGAGCCACUGCCACUUGUCAACUGCAUAGCAAAGGUUUACCUAGCACAGGCCUGAUGGCAAAGGCUACUGGGAAACAGGGCUGGUGUGAACGGGGAAUUCUAUUCUUAUGCAACAUAGUAGAUUGCCUUCUAGUGUGGUGCUCCUACCUCAGUUUGUAGAACACAGCAUCUAUGCAGUGAGUGGUAGCCUUGCCUCUGACCUUUCACAGCCUCGAGAGAGAGGCAGCCUGCCACUGCCUGGUGUGUUUCUUGUGUCUAGAGUCCUAACAGUGCUGCGAUCCGUGCGAUUUCCACCAUCUGACCCGGAACCUUCAGGUCGUCCCGGCCCCCAAGGCUCAGCCCAGAAAAUAAGGACAGAAAAGGCUUCCUUCGAUUUGGUUUCCAAAUGGUUUUCAAUAGUUCAGUAACAAACCCCCUUUAGUGGUGACUAGUGUUUUUUAGUAUUUUUCCCAUCAUAAAAAAAGUUUCAGUUUUCAGUCUGGUUUUGCUGUGUUCUAUGUCUCUUCUUUCCUCUCAGAAUUAGUUGAUCUCGCUGUAGAAAAGCAGAUGUGCAUAGCAUCAUUGAUCAGAGGAAAUACCUACAGAAUAGUGGACUGCACCUUUAAGCAGUAGAGGAUAAACUACCUACAAAUGUGAAUUUCUUAGUUUCAUUUAAAAGUAUACGGCUGUUAACCUUUCGUGUGCCAAAUCUUAAGUUACAUUUUUCCUUCAAAGCAAUGUACUUUUUUCUACAUAUGUAGUGUGUAGUUAGCAUAAAUCAUUGGUGCCAUGAAGAUUAUUUUUAAAUUCAAUAAAUAUUUAAAUACCGUAAAAGAA